RNAcentral lists this ribosomal RNA (864 nucleotides) under Plagiostoma apiculatum. RNAcentral's name for it is "LSU rRNA". It matches the Rfam family "Eukaryotic large subunit ribosomal RNA", at positions 68 to 960 of the family's 3401-position model. Lineage: Eukaryota; Fungi; Ascomycota; Sordariomycetes; Diaporthales; Gnomoniaceae. The record is from RNAcentral.
ACAGGGAUUGCCCUAGUAACGGCGAGUGAAGCGGCAACAGCUCAAAUUUGAAAUCUGGCUUCGGCCCGAGUUGUAAUUUGCAGAGGAUGUUUAUGGUGCGGUACCUUCCGAGUUCCCUGGAACGGGACGCCACAGAGGGUGAGAGCCCCGUCUGGUUGGAUACCAAACCUGUGUUAAACUCCUUCAACGAGUCGAGUAGUUUGGGAAUGCUGCUCUAAAUGGGAGGUAAAUCUCUUCUAAAGCUAAAUACUGGCCAGAGACCGAUAGCGCACAAGUAGAGUGAUCGAAAGAUGAAAAGCACCUUGAAAAGGGGGUUAAACAGUACGUGAAAUUGUUGAAAGGGAAGCGUUUAUGACCAGACUUGUGUCGUGUGGCUCAUCCGAGGUUCUCCCCGGUGCACUCCACGCGGCUCAGGCCAACAUCGGUUCUUGUUGGAGGAUAAGAACAGUAGGAACGUAGCUCUCCUUCGGGGGAGUGUUAUAGCCUAUUGUACGAUACUCUGACGGGGACCGAGGACCGCGCUUCGGCUAGGAUGUUGGCGUAAUGGUCAUUAGCGACCCGUCUUGAAACACGGACCAAGGAGUCGUCCAUUAGAGCGAGCGUUUGGGUGUAAAACCCGCACGCGUAAUGAAAGUGAAAUUAGGUGAGAGCUUCGGCGCAUCAUCGACCGAUCCUGAAGUUUACGGAUGGAUUUGAGUAAGAGUUUUAACGGACGGACCCGAAAGACAGUGAACUAUGCUUGAAUAGGGUGAAGCCAGAGGAAACUCUGGUGGAGGCUCGCAGCGGUUCUGACGUGCAAAUCGAUCGUCAAAUUUGAGCAUGGGGGGCGAAAGACUAAUCGAACUGUCUAGUAGCUGGUUACCG